This 679-nucleotide long non-coding RNA is filed under the name Vigna radiata. RNAcentral describes it as "long non-coding RNA (VRAD_LNC000687)". Lineage: Eukaryota; Viridiplantae; Streptophyta; Magnoliopsida; Fabales; Fabaceae. The record is from RNAcentral.
GUUGAAUUGAUUGUGAUAGAAAUUACCCUGUGUGAGAUUUGAGCCACUUGAUAUUCUUUCUUGUGUGUGAUAUGUCUCUUGAUUACUUGCACAUAUGCCUUGGCUUGACUCUUUUUGAUGUGUCUUGAUUUAUAUGCAUGUUUGGAAGUGAUAAAGGCAGUUUUGUUGUUGAGCCUCUCUAGCCAGAUGAGCCUACCUUGUUGUGAUCCUUUGAUAGCCCCUUUGAGACUUUACUUUCCACAGUUCUUUGUUUUCAAGCUCAUACACUAGCCCAAAGUGAAAAAUCAUGAUUACCUUAACCUUAGGGAAUUUUNGAGCUUUGGAAUUGUUUUGGGAAUAAGUGUGGUCUCCCGGGAGAUUCAAAUGAAUUGGCUAGUUGGUUCCUCUUCUUGUUUUGUUUUUAUAUAUAUACGUGUGUCUUGUCUCUUGAAGUUGUGUUAUGAAAAGAGAGAUCAGAAAAGAAACAAGAUGAAAAAAAUAAAAAAAAAAGAAAAAAAAAGAAAAAAAAUAAUAAAUACAGAAAAAUGAGAAAAAAAAAAGGUUGUGAAUAAAGGAGUCAAGAAGAGGAUUGAAUUAGAGGGUUUUGGGUGUGAUUUGAUUGUGUUUCACCUGUUCCCCAUUGCUCCUCUAUUCCUUUUGGUUUGUAACUUCUCAUCCAUAUUAUUUCCUCCCUUUUCCU